RNAcentral lists this ribosomal RNA (524 nucleotides) under uncultured bacterium. RNAcentral describes it as "partial 16S ribosomal RNA". It matches the Rfam family "Bacterial small subunit ribosomal RNA", at positions 28 to 523 of the family's 1533-position model. The record is from RNAcentral.
GACGAACGCUGGCGGCGUGCCUAAUACAUGCAAGUCGAGCGCAGGAAACCAUCUGAACCCUUCGGGGGGACGACGGUGGAAUGAGCGGCGGACGGGUGAGUAACACAUAAAGAACCUGCCCACGGGUCUGGGAUAACCACGAGAAAUCGGGGCUAAUACCGGACGGGUCAUCGGACCGCAUGGUCCGAGGAUGAAAGGCGCUCCGGCGUCGCCCGUGGAUGGCUUUGCGGUGCAUUAGCUAGUUGGUGGGGUAACGGCCAACCAAGGCGACGAUGCAUGGCCGACCUGAGAGGGUGAUCGGCCACACUGGGACUGAGACACGGCCCAGACUCCUACGGGAGGCAGCAGUAGGGAAUCUUCCACAAUGGACGAAAGUCUGAUGGAGCAACGACGCGUGAACGAUGAAGGCCCUCGGGUCGUAAAGUUCUGUUGUAAGGGAAGAACAAGUGCCGCAGGCAAUGGCGGCACCUUGACGGUACCUUGCGAGAAAGCCACGGCUAACUACGUGCCAGCCGCCGCCGUAA